Molecule: ribosomal RNA, 429 nt
Filed under: Bacillota bacterium
Lineage: Bacteria; Bacillati; Bacillota
Description: Firmicutes bacterium partial 16S ribosomal RNA
Rfam family: Bacterial small subunit ribosomal RNA
Source: RNAcentral
UAGGGAAUCUUCCACAAUGGACGCAAGUCUGAUGGAGCAACGCCGCGUGAGUGAAGAAGGUUUUCGGAUCGUAAAGCUCUGUUGUUGGUGAAGAAGGAUAGAGGUAGUAACUGGCCUUUAUUUGACGGUAAUCAACCAGAAAGUCACGGCUAACUACGUGCCAGCAGCCGCGGUAAUACGUAGGUGGCAAGCGUUGUCCGGAUUUAUUGGGCGUAAAGCGAGCGCAGGCGGAAGAAUAAGUCUGGUGUGAAAGCCCUCGGCUUAACCGAGGAACUGCAUCGAAAACUGUUUUUCUUGAGUGCAGAAGAGGAAGGUGGAAUUCCAUGUGUAGCGGUGGAAUGCGUAGAUAUAUGGAAGACCACCAGUAGCGAAGGCAACUCUCUGGUCUGCAACUGACGCUGAAGCUCGAAAGCAUGAGUAGCGAACAGG